UACGUAGGGUGCGAGCGUUGUCCGGAAUUAUUGGGCGUAAAGAGCUCGUAGGCGGCCUGUCGCGUCGGAUGUGAAAGCCCGGGGCCUAACCCCGGGUCUGCAUUCGAUACGGGCAGGCUAGAGUUCGGUAGGGGAGAUCGGAAUUCCUGGUGUAGCGGUGAAAUGCGCAGAUAUCAGGAGGAACACCGGUGGCGAAGGCGGAUCUCUGGGCCGAUACUGACGCUGAGGAGCGAAAGCGUGGGGAGCGAACAGG
This 253-nucleotide ribosomal RNA is filed under the name uncultured bacterium. RNAcentral's name for it is "partial 16S ribosomal RNA". It matches the Rfam family "Bacterial small subunit ribosomal RNA", at positions 524 to 776 of the family's 1533-position model. The record is from RNAcentral.